RNAcentral lists this long non-coding RNA (530 nucleotides) under Homo sapiens (human). RNAcentral's name for it is "HSALNT0056933". The record is from RNAcentral. Lineage: Eukaryota; Metazoa; Chordata; Mammalia; Primates; Hominidae.
UAUUUUAUUGCGUAUGAUUUUCACUAUCAGUAAAUAUAAAGAGAAAAGUGUCUACUAGUAUCAUGUACACGAAAAAGCAUCUGAAGAAAGAAAGCAUUUGAGGUUUGACAGUACUGUUUGUAAGCGUAAUGUUGCAUUUCAUACCGCACUUAAAAGUCCAUGUAGUUACUGCUGCUUUGACCCUGGAUGUGGGAAAAGUGCUUAAGUGCUGAGCCCUGGGAUGGUAUGGAGUGAACUGUAAAAACAAGCAUGCAAUCACAUCAAUGCAGACUUAUUUCCUUAAAAUGUCAUACUGUAUAUGAUUUAUUAUGUUAACACUCAACCACAUCAUAUUAUUUAUGUUCUGUAUAUUCUGAAAAAGUGCUGCUUGACUGACAUCGUCCUUUUUCUUUUGUAAGAAAUCAACAAGAUAAAUGCGAUAUCGACCAAGCAGAAAGAUAGAACACAGCGUGACAAAUACAACUACAGCCACUAUUCCUCCUAUGAGAGCAUGGUCAGGGCCAUUCUGGCCAGCCAAAGCAUUAGGAUCU